GACAGAGGUGGCAAGCGUUGUUCGGAUUUAUUGGGUGUAAAGGGCAGGUAGGCGGCCUCGCAAGUCUGACGUGAAAUCCCACGGCUCAACCGUGGAACUGCGUUGGAAACUGCAAGGCUUGAGUACCAGAGAGGUAAGGGGAAUUCUCGGUGUAAGGGUGAAAUCUGUAGAUAUCGAGAGGAACACCAGUGGCGAAGGCGCCUUACUGGCUGGUAACUGACGCUGAGCUGCGAAAGCAAGGGGAGCAAACAGG
Molecule: ribosomal RNA, 253 nt
Filed under: uncultured bacterium
Lineage: Bacteria
Description: partial 16S ribosomal RNA
Rfam family: Bacterial small subunit ribosomal RNA
Source: RNAcentral